RNAcentral lists this transfer RNA (73 nucleotides) under Stegodyphus mimosarum. It matches the Rfam family "tRNA". From Rfam's summary of the family: Transfer RNA (tRNA) molecules are approximately 80 nucleotides in length. Their secondary structure includes four short double-helical elements and three loops (D, anti-codon, and T loops). Lineage: Eukaryota; Metazoa; Arthropoda; Arachnida; Araneae; Eresidae. The record is from Rfam by way of RNAcentral.
GCCUUAGUGGUGCAAUGGUCAGCACACUGAGCCGGUAUUUCAGAGGUCCGUGGUUCGAUUCCCGGCAAAGGAA